This 759-nucleotide ribosomal RNA is filed under the name uncultured bacterium. RNAcentral's name for it is "bacterial SSU rRNA". It matches the Rfam family "Bacterial small subunit ribosomal RNA", at positions 63 to 818 of the family's 1533-position model. The record is from RNAcentral.
CGAACGGAGCGCUUGAGAGGAUGUAAAACAGCUUAGUGGCGGACGGGUGAGUAACGCGUGGGAACCUGCCUCACACUGGGGGAUAACAGUUAGAAAUAGCUGCUAAUACCGCAUAAGCGCACGGUUCCGCAUGGAACAGUGUGAAUCCGGUGGUGUGAGAUGGACCCGCGUCUGAUUAGCCAGUUGGCGGGGUAACGGCCCACCAAAGCGACGAUCAGUAGCCGGCCUGAGAGGGUGAACGGCCACAUUGGGACUGAGACACGGCCCAAACUCCUACGGGAGGCAGCAGUAGGGAAUUUUCGGCAAUGGGGGAAACCCUGACCGAGCAACGCCGCGUGAGCGAAGAAGGCCUUCGGGUCGUAAAGCUCUGUUGUAAAGGAAGAACGGCGCAUACAGGAAAUGGUAUGCGAGUGACGGUACUUUACCAGAAAGCCACGGCUAACUACGUGCCAGCAGCCGCGGUAAUACGUAGGUGGCGAGCGUUAUCCGGAAUCAUUGGGCGUAAAGAGGGAGCAGGCGGCCGCAAGGGUCUGUGGUGAAAGACCGAAGCUAAACUUCGGUAAGCCAUGGAAACCGGGCGGCUAGAGUGCGGAAGAGGAUCGUGGAAUUCCAUGUGUAGCGGUGAAAUGCGUAGAUAUAUGGAGGAACACCAGUGGCGAAGGCGACGGUCUGGGCCGCAACUGACGCUCAUUCCCGAAAGCGUGAGGAGCAAAUAGGAUUAGGUACCCUAGUAGUCCACGCCGUANACGAUGGUCACUA